This 253-nucleotide ribosomal RNA is filed under the name uncultured bacterium. RNAcentral describes it as "partial 16S ribosomal RNA". It matches the Rfam family "Bacterial small subunit ribosomal RNA", at positions 524 to 776 of the family's 1533-position model. The record is from RNAcentral.
UACGGGGGGGGCAAGCGUUGUUCGGAAUUACUGGGCGUAAAGGGCGCGUAGGCGGCCCGCUAAGUCAGACGUGAAAUCCCUCGGCUCAACCGGGGAACUGCGUCUGAUACUGGCAGGCUUGAAUCCGGGAGAGGGAUGUGGAAUUCCAGGUGUAGCGGUGAAAUGCGUAGAUAUCUGGAGGAACACCGGUGGCGAAGGCGGCAGCCUGGACCGGUAUUGACGCUGAGGCGCGAAAGCCAGGGGAGCAAACGGG